RNAcentral lists this long non-coding RNA (384 nucleotides) under Neogale vison (American mink). RNAcentral describes it as "Neovison vison (American mink) lncRNA (ENSNVIG00000005455.1)". Lineage: Eukaryota; Metazoa; Chordata; Mammalia; Carnivora; Mustelidae. The record is from RNAcentral.
CGCCGUUCUGGUUGACGACACGCGGCGGUGCUGUGCAGGGGCCCUGGAGAGAGCUGGAAACUCUGCAGCCUUCCUCGCCCUCCCAGCAAGCCCAACCCUGCCUGGCUCCAGAUCGGUCAUGCCUGGAUGGGUUUAAAGAGCCGCAAUCCAUUCUGAUGGAGAAGUUAUAAACUUCAUUCUGCAAGCUUGGAUAAGAUACAGCUGGGGCUCUGGUGUGGACCCAACAGCCCAGAAGUUGCCUGCAACCAGUUGAAAUGACCUGAAGCUGACCUUACCUGCUGCCUGACCUGUUUCUACAUCCUAAGAUGCUUAUUGCACAACCAGAAACCUCCUGUCGAAAAUACAGCUGGAAGCCAGCGUAAAUGGAGGGUAAGCGUGGAAAAC